UUUAGGAUAUUAGCCAGCCGAAAGAAACUAGAACAUUCGUUGCUGCUAAAAAUCAAACAUCUUGUUACCACCUGGUUUCCUGCUAAAUUCGUCAAUAGCUGACAUAAUCAAUGAUUGUUGAAAAUUUCCCCCAACGCCAGCAAUAUUUCGUGGGCUCAACCCAUUCAGACUUGCCUCCGAUGUACACAAUAAUAUGUAUUAAGCUAUUAACCAUUUCUGUGGUUCAAAACAACUCUCAACUCUAAUCUUGAGAGAGCUAUUUUUCGUGAAAAUUGAUAUGUAAAACUUAGGGCAGUUUACGACAUUUUACGACACAAAGCUAAAUGAGUGUUUUUUGCGGCACUAGUCUGUCACUUAAAAUGCUCUGACUGACAAAACAAUGGGUUCAACCGUUGGAAAAAGAUGAUGACGAUUUGAAGGCCAAGCGUACCUCGACCCCCUGCAAGUAACAUUUGUUCAAGUUAUGAAAACUACCUAUUUUGAUGAUAGGAGGGAGGGAAAGUGCAAGAAGUACAUCCACAUUAGCAGCAUUAGUGUCACGACGCCUCUCGACAUUUUACCACUUAAGUAAAUCCCUGAAAGUCUCUGAUGCUGCUUUCGCCUGAAGAAGUUUUCGUGACAAGCUACAGAAAACAUUGAGCUCGCUGCGAAUCGCAAGUUAAGACAUUUUGAGUUGAGUCAAGAAAAGACAGCUACUGGCAAAUGGAUCCCUGAGGGACUUCUCUUUUGGCUAAAAGUCAGCGCAAAAUGAACCCCGUUUAUUUAACGUCUGCAUAAAUCUAUGUCCCCUGAUGUGAUGACAUUAAAAGAAAUCUCAACUGAGGUCAGAGGAUCCGCAGAAGCACACAAAGCAACAAACUUCUAGCCAAGGUGGACACUUUGUUAUUGACUCUGGCAAUUUUGGCGUUUUACGCAUCAAAUUUUGGAGUUUGGCUGGAGCGUUAGAAAAUGGAAACAUUCUGCUUUAAUGUAUCAAGCACAAUUAUCUCAAGAUCAUAUAUUUUUACUAUAUGCGGAGCAUGGUAGGAAUUUCUUGCACACCUUUUUUGGUCGUUCUGCCUUGAAAAUCUUUAUAAGUCAAAGUUCAGAAUUAUUUUGCUGAGGCUUAAAAUUUUUAAUUUUCCCACCAAAAAUACAGGCGCUAAAACUACGCAUGCGCUGGUUAGUUUGCUAAUUGCUUCUCUGUAACAUCUGUUCAAGAAUGUUUUAAUUUUCCCGCCAAAAGACUAAGAAAAGAUGGGGCGCUUUAAAUACGCAUGCGCCGUUUUUUUUUUUUUUUUUAUUAGGGAUAUUUCAAACAAGUAAGUUGUAUAUAUCAUAUAAGUGAAAAUAAAGCAGUUUUUCCAUUGUG
This is a long non-coding RNA of Stylophora pistillata, 1351 nucleotides long. NCBI's taxonomy places the organism in Eukaryota, Metazoa, Cnidaria, Anthozoa, Scleractinia, Pocilloporidae. The record is from RefSeq and is a predicted model, not a curated record.